RNAcentral lists this ribosomal RNA (460 nucleotides) under uncultured bacterium. RNAcentral's name for it is "partial 16S ribosomal RNA". It matches the Rfam family "Bacterial small subunit ribosomal RNA", at positions 338 to 795 of the family's 1533-position model. The record is from RNAcentral.
CCUACGGGUGGCAGCAGUGAGGAAUAUUGGUCAAUGGACGCAAGUCUGAACCAGCCAAGUCGCGUGCAGGAUGACUGCUCUAUGGGUUGUAAACUUCUUUUAUAAGGGAGUAAAACGAGGCACGUGUGCCUUUUUGCAUGUACUUUAUGAAUAAGGAUCGGCUAACUCCGUGCCAGCAGCCGCGGUAAUACGGAGGAUCCGAGCGUUAUCCGGAUUUUUUGGGUUUAAAGGGAGCGUAGAUGGUUUGAUAAGUCAGUUGUGAAAGUUCGGGGCUCAACCGUAAAAUUGCCUAUGAUACUGUCAGUCUUGAGUACAGUUGAGGUAGGCGGAAUUCAUGGUGUAGCGGUGAAAUGCUUAGAGAUCAUGAAGAACCCCGAUUGCGAAGGCAGCUUACUAAACUGCGACUGACAUUGAGGCACGAAAGCGUGGGGAGCAAACAGGAUUAGAUACCCCGGUAGUC